Molecule: ribosomal RNA, 497 nt
Filed under: uncultured bacterium
Lineage: Bacteria
Description: partial 16S ribosomal RNA
Rfam family: Bacterial small subunit ribosomal RNA
Source: RNAcentral
GAUGAACGCUGGCGGCGUGCCUAAUACAUGCAAGUCGAGCGAACAGACGAGGAGCUUGCUCCUCUGACGUUAGCGGCGGACGGGUGAGUAACACGUGGAUAACCUACCUAUAAGACUGGGAUAACUUCGGGAAACCGGAGCUAAUACCGGAUAAUAUAUUGAACCGCAUGGUUCAAUAGUGAAAGACGGUUUUGCUGUCACUUAUAGAUGGAUCCGCGCCGCAUUAGCUAGUUGGUAAGGUAACGGCUUACCAAGGCAACGAUGCGUAGCCGACCUGAGAGGGUGAUCGGCCACACUGGAACUGAGCCGCGGUCCAGACUCCUACGGGAGGCAGCAGUAGGGAAUCUUCCGCAAUGGGCGAAAGCCUGACGGAGCAACGCCGCGUGAGUGAUGAAGGUCUUCGGAUCGUAAAACUCUGUUAUUAGGGAAGAACAAAUGUGUAAGUAACUAUGCACGUCUUGACGGUACCUAAUCAGAAAGCCACGGCUAACUACGUG